GUCUUCUUGCUAAUCAUAGGAAGUCUAACCUGCCCAGUGAAUGAUUUUUAACGGCCGCGGUAUUUUGACCGUGCAAAGGUAGCAUAAUCAUUAGUCUUUUAAUAGAAGGCUGGCAUGAAUGGUUUGACGAGGUGCUGACUGUCUCAUUUAAUUUUUAUUAGAACUUAACUUUUUAGUUAAAAGGCUAAAAUGUUUUUGGAAGACGAGAAGACCCUAUAGAGCUUUAUAAUAUAUUAAUUAGUCAUAUUCAGUUUAAUUUUUUUGGUUAUUUAAGCUAUUAUUUUGUUGGGGUGACAAAAAUAUAUAUUUAACUUUUUUAUUUAUUUUACAUUAAUUUAUGAAUCAUCGGAUCCAUUCUUAUUGAUUAUUAGACUAAGUUACCUUAGGGAUAACAGCGUAAUCUUCUUUCAGAGUUCAAAUUUACAAGAAGGCUUGCGACCUCGAUGUUGGAUUAAGAUUAUAAUUAGGUGCAGCCGCUUAAUUUAUGGGUCUGUUCGACCUUUAAUUUCUU
This 511-nucleotide ribosomal RNA is filed under the name Indolestes cyaneus. RNAcentral's name for it is "partial 16S rRNA". It matches the Rfam family "Bacterial large subunit ribosomal RNA", at positions 1830 to 2597 of the family's 2925-position model. The record is from RNAcentral. Lineage: Eukaryota; Metazoa; Arthropoda; Insecta; Odonata; Lestidae.